RNAcentral lists this ribosomal RNA (329 nucleotides) under uncultured eukaryote. Its description in RNAcentral is "partial 18S ribosomal RNA". It matches the Rfam family "Eukaryotic small subunit ribosomal RNA", at positions 1470 to 1796 of the family's 1831-position model. The record is from RNAcentral.
CCCUUAGAUGAUUUGGGCUGCACGCGCGCUACACUGACCCUAACAAUGAACAACUGUCUGGCCUGAGAUGGCUGGGUAGCCUUUUCAACCCAUGUCAUGAUUGGGCUAGAUUUUUGUAAGUCUUGAUCUCUAACGAGGAAUCCCUAGUAUGCGUGAAUCAUCAAUCCAUGCAGAUUACGUCCCUGCCCUUUGUACACACCGCCCGUCGCUACUACCGAUUGGAUGGUUUAGUGAGAUCCUCGGAUUGGUCCCGGCGCGGCCUCUGGUCGUGCCGGAGUGCCGAAAAGAAUGUCGAACUUGAUCAUCUAGAGGAAGUAAAAGUCGUAACA